RNAcentral lists this long non-coding RNA (1363 nucleotides) under Manacus vitellinus (golden-collared manakin). RNAcentral describes it as "lncRNA (ENSMVIG00005007877.1)". Lineage: Eukaryota; Metazoa; Chordata; Aves; Passeriformes; Pipridae. The record is from RNAcentral.
AUCAAACUCUGGAAAAGAAAAACUGGCCUUCUUUCAGCCUGUUUGAACACUGAGGCAUUGGCUGAGUUUGGCAGUAGCUCCCCAUCUCUGCUGUAUCCCAACUAUCCCUCCAGUGCUGUCGUGGCAAAAGUGUUUCUGCAAAUGCUCAUUUCUGGUAUGUCUCUUCACUAAUUCCUACACAUUCUACAGAAGGAGUAUGCAAUUUAUUCCUCAGAUGCACAGGUUACCUAAUUUCAACUGCUGCUUUCUGCUUUUGGUUCUAUGGUCACUACCCUAUAAGCCCAAACUCGCUGAACUGUGGAGUUUCUCCACUGACUUUAGCAGGAUUUCAUUCACCUGACAGGUGCUCUAAGGAACUGAAAGGCAGCAAAUCUGAAAUAUCAGCUGGAGAGGGGCAUUUCUGUUCCCCUUUUUGUGGAAACACAUGACCAAGACCAAGAGAAGAUUCCUCUUGGCUACAGGCUUUUGUUUUUCCUCAACAGCCACCUGCAUUUGGUUCUGACCUGUGAUGCAACAUUAGUGGAAACACCACCUAAAGAGAAGGCAACUCUAAUGGACAGAUACAGAGAUUUUCAUCUUAAUUGCAUGUUUUUAGGGCUUCAAAGAGUGUUUCAGAAUCAUCAGUGUAUUAUAACAUUUUUUCUGAAAUGCAAUUAAUAUUUAUUGUAUGGAUUCUUUGGCCUUCCAAAGUAACAGUAUUGGUGUCAUUAAAUAGAUGUAAUGAUUUUUUGACUCGGAAAUAAAUUCUGACUUUCCAUUCAGGCAAAACACACAGAUGCAAAGGUAGGGACAGUUGUGAAUGACAUCUAACCAACAAAUGGAGCUCAAACAGGAGGAAACACUGGAGAAGGAAAUUAAAGAAGGAGAAGGACUGUUAAAGAACAGUUCCAACAAUUUGGAUGUGCCACAGAAACAUCCCUGUCCCAACCACUGUGUAUCUCACUGGAAGAAACUGUGCUGUGGUCUCUGUGGUCCCUAACUGGAAGCUCAGACCUGUGCUGUUCCUUUGGGAGAAGUUGGGAAGGACUCUCAGCACAGGGAGGAGGGACCAUGGGAACAUGAGCAGCUCCAAGGGAUCAGGGUCUCACUGCCCCUCCAACAGCUUCCAGAUCAGCUGUGACCUCUCUGUUAUUCCAGCAAAUAUCUGCUCACAUCCCUGGGUUUUCUGCUUUUGCUUCCCAGGGGGGAUGAAAAAAGGGGAGAUUGGGAGCCAAGAGAAAAGCACCCUCGCCUUUCACAUGGGGCUUAAUGUUGGCACGUCAUUGUAACGUUAUGAAAAUCUUUAUUGGAGCUUGAAUAAUGCCCUGAAAUAGAUAUUGUGCUGGUUAAUAAAUUACAUUUGCAAAUGAGAGAGAUUUUAUCA